Molecule: ribosomal RNA, 430 nt
Filed under: bacterium
Lineage: Bacteria
Description: partial 16S ribosomal RNA
Rfam family: Bacterial small subunit ribosomal RNA
Source: RNAcentral
UGGGGAAUAUUGGACAAUGGGGGGAACCCUGAUCCAGCCAUGCCGCGUGUGUGAAGAAGGCCUUAUGGUUGUAAAGCACUUUAAGCGAGGAGGAGGCUCUCUUGGUUAAUACCCAAGAAGAGUGGACGUUACUCGCAGAAUAAGCACCGGCUAACUCUGUGCCAGCAGCCGCGGUAUUACAGAGGGUGCGAGCGUUAAUCGGAUUUACUGGGCGUAAAGCGUGCGUAGGCGGCUUUUUAAGUCGGAUGUGAAAUCCCCGAGCUUAACUUGGGAAUUGCAUUCGAUACUGGGAAGCUAGAGUAUGGGAGAGGAUGGUAGAAUUCCAGGUGUAGCGGUGAAAUGCGUAGAGAUCUGGAGGAAUACCGAUGGCGAAGGCAGCCAUCUGGCCUAAUACUGACGCUGAGGUACGAAAGCAUGGGGAGCAAACAGG